CUUGUACACACCGCCCGUCACACCAUGGGAGCGGGUUCUGCCAGAAGUAGUUAGCCUAACCGCAAGGAGGGCGAUUACCACGGCAGGGUUCGUGGCUGGGGUG
This 103-nucleotide ribosomal RNA is filed under the name uncultured bacterium. RNAcentral's name for it is "partial 16S ribosomal RNA". It matches the Rfam family "Bacterial small subunit ribosomal RNA", at positions 1380 to 1482 of the family's 1533-position model. The record is from RNAcentral.